UAAAGGUCAAAAUCAUUUAGUAGAAAUCCUUCACAUUAAUCUGAGAGGAGUCCAAAGAAUGGAGGAUGUGUCCUAGGUCCUAUGGGAGAAGACUACUAAAGCAAUUGGCAUCAUGACUGGCACUGUGACCUGAACAGCCUAACCCUAUUUCUGGGGUUGAAAACCAAAAUUGUAGCUUUCCAGCUGCACGUGGAAGUCCUGACUCCAGCCAGCUUUCUAACAGUA
RNAcentral lists this long non-coding RNA (225 nucleotides) under Cyanistes caeruleus (blue tit). Its description in RNAcentral is "lncRNA (ENSCCEG00000000005.1)". Lineage: Eukaryota; Metazoa; Chordata; Aves; Passeriformes; Paridae. The record is from RNAcentral.